RNAcentral lists this ribosomal RNA (422 nucleotides) under uncultured bacterium. Its description in RNAcentral is "bacterial SSU rRNA". It matches the Rfam family "Bacterial small subunit ribosomal RNA", at positions 29 to 496 of the family's 1533-position model. The record is from RNAcentral.
AACGAACGCUGGCGGCAGGCCUAACACAUGCAAGUCGAACGCCGUAGCAAUACGGAGUGGCAGACGGGUGAGUAACACGUGGGAACAUACCCUUCGGUUCGGAAUAACUCAGGGAAACUUGAGCUAAUACCGGAUACGUCCGCGAGGAGAAAGAUUCAUCGCCGGAGGAUUGGCCCGCGUCUGAUUAGCUUGUUGGUGAGGUAACGGCUCACCAAGGCGACGAUCAGUAGCUGGUCUGAGAGGAUGAUCAGCCACAUUGGGACUGAGACACGGCCCAAACUCCUACGGGAGGCAGCAGUGGGGAAUAUUGGACAAUGGGCGCAAGCCUGAUCCAGCCAUGCCGCGUGAGUGAUGAAGGCCCUAGGGUUGUAAAGCUCUUUUACCCGGGAAGAUAAUGACUGUACCGGGAGAAUAAGCCCCGG